GAGCACCUCUCUCUCUCCGCCCACUCGGCCACCACGCGGCAGCCGAGCGAGGGCCUCGGGGCAGCUU
RNAcentral lists this microRNA precursor (67 nucleotides) under Oryza glumipatula. Its description in RNAcentral is "pre miRNA MIR2907". It matches the Rfam family "MIR2907 microRNA precursor family". The record is from Rfam by way of RNAcentral. Lineage: Eukaryota; Viridiplantae; Streptophyta; Magnoliopsida; Poales; Poaceae.